Molecule: unclassified non-coding RNA, 267 nt
Filed under: Mycobacteroides immunogenum
Lineage: Bacteria; Bacillati; Actinomycetota; Actinomycetes; Mycobacteriales; Mycobacteriaceae
Description: partial 16S-23S ribosomal RNA intergenic spacer
Source: RNAcentral
ACCUCCUUUCUAAGGAGCACCAUUUCCCCGCCGAAUGAGCGUGGGAACAUAAAGCGGGUUUCUGUAGUGGUUUCCUGCUUGGUGAAUAUGUUUUAUAAAUCCUGUCCGCUCUCGUUAUCGAGGUGGAUGGGUAGUCGGCAAGACGUCGGACUGUCAAAAGAAUUGGAAUGCUGGCACACUGUUGGGUCCUGAGGCAACACAUUGUGUUGUCGCCCUGCUUGGUGGUGGGGUGUGGACUUUGACUUCUGGAUAGUGGUUGCGAGCAUC